RNAcentral lists this ribosomal RNA (394 nucleotides) under uncultured bacterium. Its description in RNAcentral is "partial 16S ribosomal RNA". It matches the Rfam family "Bacterial small subunit ribosomal RNA", at positions 359 to 774 of the family's 1533-position model. The record is from RNAcentral.
GAUAUUGCACAAUGGGCGCAAGCCUGAUGCAGCGACGCCGCGUGAGGGAAGACGGUCUUCGGAUUGUAAACCUGUCUUUGGGGACGAUAAUGACGGUACCCAAGGAGGAAGCCACGGCUAACUACGUGCCAGCAGCCGCGGUAAUACGUAGGUGGCGAGCGUUGUCCGGAAUUACUGGGUGUAAAGGGAGCGUAGGCGGGAAUGUAAGUUGAAUGUGAAAUUUAUCGGCUCAACCGGUAACUGCGUUCAAAACUACAUUUCUUGAGUGAAGUAGAGGUUGGCGGAAUUCCUAGUGUAGCGGUGAAAUGCGUAGAUAUUAGGAGGAACACCAGUGGCGAAGGCGGCCAACUGGGCUUUAACUGACGCUGAGGCUCGAAAGCGUGGGGAGCAAACA